AUACCGGCUGCUCGAGUGCUGGCCACUAUUACUGGGUUUAAAGCGUCCGUAGCUUGACUGUUAGGUCUCUUGGGAAAUCUUUUGGCUUAACCAAAAGGCGUCUAAGAGAUACCGGCAUUCUUGGAACUGGGAGAGGUAAGCCGUACUUCGGGGGUAGGAGUGAAAUCUUGUAAUCCUCGAGGGACGACCUAUGGCGAAGGCAGCUUACCAGAACAGCUUCGACAGUGAGGGACGAAAGCUGGGGGAGCAAACGGGAUUAGAUACCCCGGUAGUCCCAGCCGUAAACAAUGUGCGUUAGGUGUGUCGGUUACCACGCGUAACUGAUGCGCCGAAGAGAAAUCGUGAAACGCACCACCUGGGAAGUACGGUCGCGAGGCUGAAACUCAAAGGAAUUGGCGGGG
Molecule: ribosomal RNA, 401 nt
Filed under: uncultured bacterium
Lineage: Bacteria
Description: partial 16S ribosomal RNA
Rfam family: Archaeal small subunit ribosomal RNA
Source: RNAcentral